RNAcentral lists this ribosomal RNA (96 nucleotides) under Salvator merianae (Argentine black and white tegu). Lineage: Eukaryota; Metazoa; Chordata; Lepidosauria; Squamata; Teiidae. The record is from RNAcentral.
AUAUGCAAGUCUUGUCUGAUUUUGGAAGCAAAGCAGGGGCAGCCUUGAGUAGGACUUGGAUGGGAGACCACCUGGCAAUCCCAGGUGCAGCAAAUG